RNAcentral lists this ribosomal RNA (707 nucleotides) under fungal endophyte. Its description in RNAcentral is "eukaryotic LSU rRNA". The stretch from base 275 to 428 matches the Rfam family "5.8S ribosomal RNA". The record is from RNAcentral. Lineage: Eukaryota; Fungi.
UCGUAACAAGGUUUCCGUAGGUGAACCUGCGGAAGGAUCAUUACUGAAAUGUAAUAACUUCUAUUGAAAGGUUCCAGAGUAGGCGCUACAACGCCGAAAUGACCUUCUCACCCUUGUGUACUCACUAUGUUGCUUUGGCGGGUCGACCUGGUUCCGACCCAGGCGGCCGGCGCCCCCAGCCUUAACUGGCCAGGACGCCCGGCUAAGUGCCCGCCAGUAUACAAAACUCAAGAAUUCAUUUUGUGAAGUCCUGAUAUAUCAUUUAAUUGAUUAAAACUUUCAACAACGGAUCUCUUGGUUCUGGCAUCGAUGAAGAACGCAGCGAAAUGCGAUAAGUAAUGUGAAUUGCAGAAUUCAGUGAAUCAUCGAAUCUUUGAACGCACAUUGCGCCCUCUGGUAUUCCGGAGGGCAUGCCUGUUCGAGCGUCAUUUCAACCCUCAAGCUCUGCUUGGUAUUGGGCAACGUCCGCUGCCGGACGUGCCUUGAAGACCUCGGCGACGGCGUCCUAGCCUCGAGCGUAGUAGUAAAAUAUCUCGCUUUGGAGUGCUGGGCGACGGCCGCCGGACAAUCGACCUUCGGUCUAUUUUUCCAAGGUUGACCUCGGAUCAGGUAGGGAUACCCGCUGAACUUAAGCAUAUCAAUAAGCGGAGGAAAAGAAACCAACAGGGAUUGCCUUAGUAACGGCGAGUGAAGCGGCAAUAGCUCAA